Molecule: ribosomal RNA, 284 nt
Filed under: uncultured Desulfobulbus sp.
Lineage: Bacteria; Pseudomonadati; Thermodesulfobacteriota; Desulfobulbia; Desulfobulbales; Desulfobulbaceae
Description: partial 16S ribosomal RNA
Rfam family: Bacterial small subunit ribosomal RNA
Source: RNAcentral
CAACCCUUGCCUUUAGUUGCCAGCAGUUCGGCUGGGCACUCUAAAGGGACUGCCGGUGUUAAACCGGAGGAAGGUGGGGAUGACGUCAAGUCCUCAUGGCCUUUAUGACCAGGGCUACACACGUACUACAAUGGCCGAUACAAAGGGCAGCGACACUGCGAGGUGAAGCCAAUCCCGUAAAAUCGGUCUCAGUCCGGAUUGGAGUCUGCAACUCGACUCCAUGAAGUUGGAAUCGCUAGUAAUCGUGGAUCAGCAUGCCACGGUAGAAUACGUUCCCGGGCCUU